Molecule: ribosomal RNA, 497 nt
Filed under: uncultured bacterium
Lineage: Bacteria
Description: partial 16S ribosomal RNA
Rfam family: Bacterial small subunit ribosomal RNA
Source: RNAcentral
GACGAACGCUGGCGGCGUGCCUAAUACAUGCAAGUUGAGCGAUGAAGAUUGGUGCUUGCACCAAUUUGAAGAGCAGCGAACGGGUGAGUAACGCGUGGGGAAUCUGCCUUUGAGCGGGGGACAACAUUUGGAAACGAAUGCUAAUACCGCAUAACAACUUUAAACAUAAGUUUUAAGUUUGAAAGAUGCAAUUGCAUCACUCAAAGAUGAUCCCGCGUUGUAUUAGCUAGUUGGUGAGGUAAAGGCUCACCAAGGCGAUGAUACAUAGCCGACCUGAGAGGGUGAUCGGCCACAUUGGGACUGAGACACGGCCCAAACUCCUACGGGAGGCAGCAGUAGGGAAUCUUCGGCAAUGGACGAAAGUCUGACCGAGCAACGCCGCGUGAGUGAAGAAGGGUUUCGGAUCGUAAAACUCUGUUGGUAGAGAAGAACGUUGGUGAGAGUGGAAAGCUCAUCAAGUGACGGUAACUACCCAGAAGGGGACGGCUAACUACGUG